Corvus moneduloides (New Caledonian crow) is the source of this 1970-nucleotide long non-coding RNA. The record is from Ensembl. Lineage: Eukaryota; Metazoa; Chordata; Aves; Passeriformes; Corvidae.
AUGACGAGCUGCCAAACCACGGCCGGCCCCCCCAGCUCGCCUCGCCUCGAGCGUCACGAUUCCGCCGCGUUUGACAGCAUCCCCGCCCGCGUCCGCGCUCGGCCAGCGCGCAGCCGCCGCGGGAUGGGCGCGCACCGAGGGAUGCGAGGCCGAGGGAUUUGGGAGCGCUCGGCGCAGAACCUGAUUUCCGCGAGCUGCCCUCUCUGCGAAGAAACCACCCACAUAAUAAUGACCCUGGAGAGCAACGCAAAACCCAACUGGCUUCCACAGAAACUUCGCCAAAUUACUGGGCUCGCCUGAAGACGAGAAAACUGGCACGAGAUUCUGCGAGGGGGAGGAAAAAAAACCCCAAAAUAAAACGCGACAACUGCCCACAAAGGGCUUGGUGUUUUUUAAAGGCAGUGUCUAAAAGUCUCCGUCAGCGAGCUGCUGCAAAAUCCUUCAUUCCAAGUCUGCUAUCUCCAGGUGACCUUACAAGGCUUCAUUUUUAUCCUUCUUAGUCCGUUAUUUCAUUUUUCUUCCGGUUUACUCUUUCUUUUCUUAAUUUUUUCCUCCCUUUUUUCUUUCCUCCUUCCCUUUUUUCCUUUUUUCUUUCAUUAUUUCUUCCUUUCCCCCUCUCGAUUUCUUUCUUUCCCCUUUCUUCCACCUUUCUUUCUCUCGCUCUCUUCUCUUUUCCUCACCUCUAAGCUCCACUUUUUUUUUUUUUUCGGGUGAAAUUGCCGCUUAAACAGAUUCCCACCACCUUGAAUUUCUUCCAAUGCCUCCCUUCUGCAUCACCCCACCCUUUUUCUUCCCCCCCACCACCUCCUCCCCGGGCAGAAGGAGAUGGGGAUGAAAUAGGGGGGAAAAAAAAGGCAGCUUGACAAAUACAUUUCCUCAUUGCAAAAAAAGAAAUAAUAAUAAUAAUAAUAAUAAUAAUAAUAACAAAUGAAGAGAAACGUAUUAUUCCCUUACCUUUUGACGUCCAUUUCUGUGGCAUGAGUGCAACGUUUGGGGAAGGAGAGAUAAGCGUUUGCUUAUCUGUUGGCUGACAAAUAUUGUCCCAACCUGAGAGCCGUCGAUCGCCUCUCUGACUCGUGAGAGCUUCUUGCAUUUCUGUCACUUGCCCGGAAAACGGAGCAACUUCCCCCUCUGAAAAAACGAGAGCCUCCACUCCUCGUGCAGAAUCUCCUCUGCCCUUCCAUUAUUACUGAGAUCCCAAAGCGGCGGGCAAAAUUGGGAGUGGGAUUUUUUGGAGGGGGGGGAAAAAAAAAAUUGAAAAAAAAAAAUUGAAAAAAUUAUUAUGAUAAUUAAAAAAAAAAAAUUAAAAAUGGAUAUAACUCUGUUGCUACGCGCGCGGGAGCGGAGGUGGGUGCCUAUGGGUGCGUGUGGGUGCGCGUUCAGGCGGCCCCCCCCUCCCCUCUGCCCUGUUUUAGCCCUGCCGAGCUUAUACACAAAAGUAAAAAAAUGUAAAGAGGCGAGAGCCCUAUAGAGGACACUGAUCCGACCCAAGGUGCAGCGGACAGAAGAAUGGUGCAAUAUAACCACAUGGGAAAUAAUAAAAAGUUCAUGUUCACGGUUAGCAGUCCACAUGACCGGCUCUGGCCAAUCCAGAACCCAGCCACUCAUAAAGUUCUAUCACAAAGUUGUAAAUUUUCAUAAAACAACAAGGAAUUUAUUGCAUUUCUUCAUGACCGGUUUAACAGCAGUCUUUUUCUUAGCCGCCAUCUUUUUUUUUUUUUUUUUACCAAAAAAUAAAAGAAUAUGAAAAAAGGGGUUCGGGGAUUUUUUUUUUUUUCCGCCCCCACCCCACCCCUGGCUUGAUAUGGGGGGGUCGUUGGGAGAAAAAAUUGAAGAGCGCCUCAUAUUCGGAACAAUGAAACCCCCCCAGAAUAAAGAGCUGGAGGUUUGGGUUGCCUUUUAAAUGGGGGAAAGGCACAGUAAAACAGUGGGGUUCGCAGGGAUUUUGGACGCCUUUCCCUCUUUUCGGG